This 3168-nucleotide ribosomal RNA is filed under the name marine metagenome. RNAcentral's name for it is "bacterial LSU rRNA". It matches the Rfam family "Bacterial large subunit ribosomal RNA", at positions 181 to 2388 of the family's 2925-position model. The record is from RNAcentral.
AUACUUGGGGAAGUGAAACAUCUCAGUACCCAAAGGAAAAGAGACCAAUAGGAAUUUCCUUAGUAGCGGCGAGCGAAAAGGAAAGAGCCCAAACCAGUCGUUCUUCACUGUGUUUAGAACGAAAUUUCUAAUUUCUAAUUUCUAAUUUCUAAACAAUGACAAAAUUUAUCAAUGAGUAAAUGUUUAAAACAUUGAAAAUUGAAACAUUGAAAAUUGUUUGAAAAUUGAAAAUUGAGAAUUGAAAAUUCGUCUCUGAGCGUAGCGAAGAGCGACUGGGGUUGUAGGAUAACAAAGUCUAUUCUUCGGAACAGAAGAAGUUACAAAAUAUGAUGUUAGUUGAAUUAGCUGGGAAGCUAAACUCAAAAGGGUAAUAGUCCCGUAAACGAAAACAUUAUGUCUUCUUAUUUGUUACUCCUGAGUAGUCCAAGACACGAAUAGCUUGGAUGAAUCCGCCAGUACUAACUGGCAAGGCUAAAUACUUUUAGAGAUCGAUAGUGAACAAGUACCGUGAGGGAAAGGUGAAAAGAACCCCGGAGAGGGGAGUGAAAUAGAUCUGAAACCAUAUGCUUACAAGGAGUCGGAGCGGUUAUCACAUAGAGUGUGAUAACUAGUUAAAAGUUCAUAAAGUUUGUAAAGUUCAUAAAGUCAGAAAAAUUUGCGAAGCAAAUUUUUCUCUUUCAACUUUCAACUUUUAACUUUAUAAACUAGGUUAUCGUGCUUUGCGCGAUGACCGUCACGGCGUUCCUAUUGAAGAAUGAGCCAACGAGUCGAAGUGUGCAGCUGCCUAAGAGGAAAAACCUUGAAGGCAUAGCGAAAGCGAGUGUUAAUAGCGCGAAAUAAUAGUUGUAUGCUUCGGACCCGAAGCCAAGUGAUCUUGCCAUGAGCAGGGUGAAGGUAGUGGAAACACUACUGGAGGCCCGAACCGGUUGGUCGUUCAACUCCAUCGGAUGACUUGUGGUAAGCAGUGAAAAGCUAAUCGAACUUGGUAAUAGCUGGUUCUCUCCGAAAUAGCUUUAGGGUUAGCGUUUGAUGUUCCUGUUGGGGGUAGAGCACUGGAAGGACUGAAUAGGGGGAAACCUCGUCAAUCCUAUCAAACUCCGAAUACCAACAGUUAAAAGUCAGGCAGUUAGACUGUGGGGGCUAAGCUCCAUUGGUCGAAAGGGAAACAGCCCAGACCUAUAUUUAAGGUCCCUAAAUUCAUACUAAGUGCACUUAAGGAGGUGAAAUUUCUCAGACAAUGAGGAGGUUGGCUUAGAAGCAGCCAUCCUUUAAAGAUAGCGUAACAGCUCACUCAUCAAGAGAUUUUGCACCGCAGAUUAUCGGGGCUAAGUAUGGUACCGAAAAUUAGGGCUUGUGCAAAGCACAAGCGAGUUAAAAGUUUAUAAAGUCCAUAAAGUCUAUAAAGUAAAAAAAUUUGCAAAGCAAAUUUUUUUCUUUCGACUUUCGACUUUCGACUUUUUGACUUGCUCGUGCUUUGCAUGAGCGGUAGGAGAGUAUUCUGUUCUGCGAUGAAGCCGAAGGCGCGAGCCACGGUGGAGCGUACAGAAGCAAGAAUGUUGGCACGAGUAACCGCAAUACAGGUGAGAUCCCUGUACGCCGAAAGACUAAGGGUUCCUUCGCAAUGUUAAUCAGCGAAGGGUUAGUCGGUCCUAAGGAGAUGGUGAAAACCGAAUCCGAUGGACACAUGGUUAAUAUUCCAUGACUUCUUUAUUUUGCGAUGGGAGGACGGAGGACAUAAGCAAUAGCGCAUUAUUGGAUUUGCGUUGUCUAUUUUAAAGAGUGUAUCUUAGGUAAAUCCGGGAUAUGGCCUUCGGGCAAGCUCUGGAAAUCGACAAAAUUUCUUUCUACGGAAAGAGAAAUUGUUGUGAAGAGCCUUCCAAGAAAAUUCUCUAAGCUCAAAAAUAAAGGAACCGUACCCUAAACCGACACAGGUAGUCAGGUCGAGAAGACCAAGGCGAACGAGUGAUUUUUCUCCAAGGAACUCGGCAAAAAAGCGAUCGUAACUUCGGAAUAAGAUCUGCCAUACCAUAGCUUGCUAUGGAUUGGCCGCAGCGAAAGUAGCCCUGCCGACUGUUUAUCAAAAACACAGCUCUCUGCGAACACGUAAGUGGAUGUAUAGAGGGUGACGCCUGACCAAUGCCAGAAGGUUAAAUACGGGGGGUAUGUACAUCACAUUGCAUGUGAUGUACUAGUCAAAAGUUCAUAAAGUCCAUAAAGUUAAAAGUCAGAAAAAUUUGCUUCGCAAAUUUUUCCCUUUCGACUUUCGACUUUACAGACUUUCGACUGGUACAUCGCGCGUAGCGUGAUGUACAUGCUGGACUGUAUAAGCCCUGGUGAAUGUCGGCCGUAACUAUAACGGUCCUAAGGUUGUGUAUCCAAAUUUAUUUGGCCACACAAAGACUAGGACUGUUAUGGAAUAUGAGCGUUCGUGCUCUAAAAUAUAAAAGGAAUAAAGUUGCCUAUUUUAUAAAUUUAAUUUUAUAAUUUGUCUAUAAAUAUCUAGCCAUAUGCUGGAAAAUCCGUGUAUCUGACAAUACUCAUUAUGAUUUAAUUAUCAUAGUAGUGAAAAUUUGCUCAGUGCGGACAAUCAGCAGGAAAUUCACCUUAGGUGAAGAUCCUCAGAGACUAAACGCUAGAAUAAGUUUUUAACUUAUAAAUUAUAGUCCGAACUGCAUAGCGAUAUGUAGAGACAAACAGAAAUGAUUUGUCCAUCUGCCUAAGGCAGAAAGUAACAAAAUGAGCGAAAUUCCUUGUCUGGUAAGUUCAGACGUGCACGAAUGGCGUAACGAGUGGGGCACUGUCUCGGAGAAUAGCUCGGUGAAAAUGCAAUACCGGUGAAGACGCCGGUUACCUGCAGCUAGACGAAAAGACCCCAGGAGCUUUACUAUAGCUUGGUAUUGGGUGUAUGUUUUGACUGCGUAGCAUAGGUGGGAGGCUUUGAAGGGAUCCUUUUGGGGAUUCUGGAGCCGUCAGUGAAAUACCACUCUUUGAAAAUAUACAUUCUAAUCUCUACGGCAAAAACGGAGAGAGACAGUGCCUGGCGGGUAGUUUUAGUGGGGCGCUAUCCUCCUAAAAAGUAACGGAGGAGUUUAAAGGUUGGCUAAGCGCGAAUGGAAACCGUGCUGAUAGUGUAAUGGCACAAGCCAGCUUAACUGCAAGACGUACGUG